AUUCCAGCUCCAAUAGCGUAUAUUAAAAUUGCUGCAGUUAAAAAGCUCGUAGUUGGAUCUUGGGCGCAGGCCGGCGGUCCGCCGCAAGGCGCGCCACUGCCCGCCUGGCCUUCCUCUCGGUCUCCGUCCGGUUCUCUUGACUGAGUGCCGGACGCGGCCGAAACGUUUACUUUGAAAAAAUUGGAGUGUUCAAAGCAGGCCCUGAGCCUGGACAGCAGAGCAUGGAAUAAUGGAAUAGGACCUCGGUUCUAUUGCGUUGGUUUUCGGAUCUCGAGGUAAUGAUUAAGAGGGACUGACGGGGGCAUUCGUAUUGCGGUGUGAGAGGUGAAAUUCUUGGAUCGCCGCAAGACGACCGACUGCGAAAGCAUUUGCCAAGAAUGUUUUCAUUG
Molecule: ribosomal RNA, 389 nt
Filed under: Echinodermata sp.
Lineage: Eukaryota; Metazoa; Echinodermata
Description: partial small subunit ribosomal RNA
Rfam family: Eukaryotic small subunit ribosomal RNA
Source: RNAcentral